RNAcentral lists this microRNA precursor (61 nucleotides) under Panagrellus redivivus. Its description in RNAcentral is "microRNA prd-mir-7939d precursor". It matches the Rfam family "mir-7939 microRNA precursor family". Lineage: Eukaryota; Metazoa; Nematoda; Chromadorea; Rhabditida; Panagrolaimidae. The record is from miRBase by way of RNAcentral.
CAUGGGCCCUCAAGCCAUUCAUGUUGUCAUUCAAAUCAUGACUGUUUUGGAGGCCCGUGGC